Molecule: long non-coding RNA, 554 nt
Organism: Oncorhynchus tshawytscha (Chinook salmon)
Lineage: Eukaryota; Metazoa; Chordata; Actinopteri; Salmoniformes; Salmonidae
Source: Ensembl
GUGGAAACCUUUCAGUUAUAAACACUUAGAAAAUCUGUCUAUGACGCUUUUCAUUGCCAGAUAAAAUAGAUUAGUAUUUUGACCCCAAAAAAAGAAUGCCAAUUUAACUAUUGAUUAUGUUCUUGAGAUGAAAUAAAACCAAGUUGUUUUAUUUAUCUAGAUAAGACAGGCUUCUUUAACUCCCACUGUUUUUUUUCUCCUGCUAAAAACAUCUGGACUUCUGAAACAUCAAAACAUGCCUCUUCAGACCUGUGAAAACAACCAAUAUUAUUUAGACAGGAUAAAACAACAUUAUUUAGACAGGUGAAAACAUUAUUUAGACAGGUGAAAACAUUAUUUAAACAGGUGAAAACAUUAUUUAAACAGGUGAAAACAUUAUUUAGACAGGUGAAAACAUUAUUUAGACAGGUGAAAACAUUAUUUAGACAGGAUAAAACAACAUUAUUUAGACAGGAUAAAACAACAUUAUUUAGACAGGUGAAAACAUUAUUUAGACAGGAUAAAACAACAUUAUUUAGACAGGUGAAAACAUUAUUUAGACAGGAUAAAACAAC